CCUACGGGAGGCAGCAGUGGGGAAUAUUGGACAAUGGGGGAAAGCCUGAUCCAGCCAUGCCGCGUGUGUGAAGAAGGUCUUCGGAUUGUAAAGCACUUUAAGUUGGGAGGAAGGGCAGUAAGUUAAUACCUUGGUGAGUGACGUACCGACAGA
RNAcentral lists this ribosomal RNA (153 nucleotides) under Pseudomonas sp. SC102. RNAcentral's name for it is "partial 16S ribosomal RNA". It matches the Rfam family "Bacterial small subunit ribosomal RNA", at positions 338 to 485 of the family's 1533-position model. The record is from RNAcentral. RNAcentral also lists the same sequence under 1 other name. Lineage: Bacteria; Pseudomonadati; Pseudomonadota; Gammaproteobacteria; Pseudomonadales; Pseudomonadaceae.